AGCCAGUCCGGAUGCAGGUUGGACUCACCGACAGGACAGCCAGGCAGGCAUGGAGGAGGCCGGACAGCAUGCUAGGGCGGCAGGAGGGCACUUCCCUGCAGGGCCUUUCCACCCAGAGGGCACCUGGAUACGUGUGACCAGGAGACUGUACCAUACAGCCACUGUUACCAGUGCCCAGCAGCUCCAGCUCCAGGGCACACUGAUGUGCCGAGGGGGACCAGCAUCAGGAGCUCCUCAGAGUUUUGUGCUUCAUCUCCCUGGGGUGUCUGAUUCACUCAGGGAGAAGUGAGCCCAAGUUCAUCUCCUUGGGAUUCCCCUGGGCUUCCACCUUUAGGGGUGGGGGUUAGGGGACAAGCAACUAGACUUGGACUAAGCAAGUCGAAUUAAACAAAACUCAUUCUUCCCCACAGGGGAAGGAGCUGUAAA
Suricata suricatta (meerkat) is the source of this 426-nucleotide long non-coding RNA. RefSeq lists it as uncharacterized. The transcript has 2 exons. NCBI's taxonomy places the organism in Eukaryota, Metazoa, Chordata, Mammalia, Carnivora, Herpestidae. The record is from RefSeq and is a predicted model, not a curated record.